RNAcentral lists this ribosomal RNA (290 nucleotides) under uncultured bacterium. RNAcentral describes it as "partial 16S ribosomal RNA". It matches the Rfam family "Bacterial small subunit ribosomal RNA", at positions 505 to 795 of the family's 1533-position model. The record is from RNAcentral.
GUGCCAGCCGCCGCGGUAAUACGGAGGGUGCGAGCGUUAAUCGGAAUUACUGGGCGUAAAGCGUGCGUAGGCGGCUAUUUAAGUCGGAUGUGAAAUCCCCGGGCUCAACCUGGGAAUUGCAUUCGAUACUGGAUAGCUAGAGUACAGUAGAGGAUAGUGGAAUUCCGGGUGUAGCGGUGAAAUGCGUAGAUAUCCGGAGGAACAUCGGUGGCGAAGGCGACUGUCUGGACUGAUACUGACGCUGAGGUACGAAAGCGUGGGGAGCAAACAGGAUUAGAUACCCAGUAGUC